GUGGGGAAUAUUGGACAAUGGGCGAAAGCCUGAUCCAGCCAUGCCGCGUGUGUGAAGAAGGUCUUCGGAUUGUAAAGCACUUUAAGUUGGGAGGAAGGGCAUUAACCUAAUACGUUAGUGUUUUGACGUUACCGACAGAAUAAGCACCGGCUAACUUCGUGCCAGCAGCCGCGGUAAUACGAAGGGUGCAAGCGUUAAUCGGAAUUACUGGGCGUAAAGCGCGCGUAGGUGGUUCAGUAAGUUGGAAGUGAAAUCCCCGGGCUCAACCUGGGAACUGCUUUCAAAACUGCUGAGCUAGAGUACGGUAGAGGGUGGUGGAAUUUCCUGUGUAGCGGUGAAAUGCGUAGAUAUAGGAAGGAACACCAGUGGCGAAGGCGACCACCUGGACUGAUACUGACACUGAGGUGCGAAAGCGUGGGGAGCAAACAGGAUUAGAUACCCUUGUAGUCC
Molecule: ribosomal RNA, 450 nt
Filed under: uncultured bacterium
Lineage: Bacteria
Description: partial 16S ribosomal RNA
Rfam family: Bacterial small subunit ribosomal RNA
Source: RNAcentral